Molecule: long non-coding RNA, 283 nt
Organism: Ornithorhynchus anatinus (platypus)
Lineage: Eukaryota; Metazoa; Chordata; Mammalia; Monotremata; Ornithorhynchidae
Exons: 2
Source: RefSeq, a predicted model, not a curated record
GCCACGGUCAGGCCCAGGCUCGCCCGCUCUGCCCGGCUCACUCUCUGCCACUCUUCGGAGCUGCAGACCCCCGGAGCAGAAGGCUGGGCCAGGACAUAGAAUCCAAUGCAAAACCUCUCUCUCUCUCCUGGCUUGCUGAUGGAGAGCACCCCGGGAUGACUGAAGAGCAGAGAGAAUCACCCUCCUCAUGGCUUCCAGUAAGCAUGCUCAGAUGUCAGCGCUGGAGGCUAUGUGGUUGAGAAGAGAUCCCAGAUGGAAAGAACAGGGAGUCAGGCAGACUGUG